CGAUUAAGUAAAAAGAAAAGGAAAGAAUAUCUUUCAAUUCCAAAUACUUCGAACAAUGAUGACGGGAUGAUUUUAAUGGUUGACGGUGAGUUUAGUCCAUUUUCCUUCCAGUUAUAGUAGCAAAUAAUGGGAAAAGAAUUACUCCAAUUAAGUUAAAAGAAAAGGAAAGAAAACCAAGAAGAUGCCUUGAGUCUAAGCAAAGCACCUUGAUUCUCGACUUAAUUCACGAAAGAUGCAAAAUGGUUGAAUAAACAGUUAGCAGAUCCAACAAUCCCACUUUGGUUUCUCCUCUCAAUGCCCUUCCAAACACAUAC
RNAcentral lists this long non-coding RNA (314 nucleotides) under Prunus persica (peach). RNAcentral's name for it is "long non-coding RNA (PPER_LNC000256)". Lineage: Eukaryota; Viridiplantae; Streptophyta; Magnoliopsida; Rosales; Rosaceae. The record is from RNAcentral.